UUGCUCGUCAAACGGAGCUUGCCUUCCCUCCCUGCGAGCACAGGGGCAGGGGCUGGACAGGACCCCUGGGCUGUCGGCAGAGGGGUCUGCAGGGGCACCAGGAGCUUCUUUUGGAGCUUUAGCGCGCUGCCACCCUCGCCUCGGGACCAGGAGCACAUCCGAUUAUUUACCAUUUACAGCGACACCGGUCCCAGGAGCAGCAAACUCUACACCGAGGAUGGUUUUUUUUGGUUAAAAGCCAAAGAAAGGGACAGCAGCUAUUCGGAGUGUGUGGUGGAUUCAGCAAUUCACAUUUCUAGUUCGGGAAAAGGCAUCUGGAGGAAACGGUCCAGGGUUUUGCGAGGCAAGGUACUGCAAGAUAUGGAUUAAAUUGAAGGGAACCAGUCUGAAAGCAGGAUUUUAAAAGGAACACAACCCAGAAACUGCAUAUAUUUGUGGAAAGGGAGAAGAUGAGUCACAUUUAUUGGAUUUGGAAGAUUAAUGAA
Myiozetetes cayanensis is the source of this 485-nucleotide long non-coding RNA. RefSeq lists it as uncharacterized. Lineage: Eukaryota; Metazoa; Chordata; Aves; Passeriformes; Tyrannidae. The transcript has 3 exons. The record is from RefSeq and is a predicted model, not a curated record.